This 251-nucleotide ribosomal RNA is filed under the name uncultured bacterium. RNAcentral's name for it is "partial 16S ribosomal RNA". It matches the Rfam family "Bacterial small subunit ribosomal RNA", at positions 333 to 601 of the family's 1533-position model. The record is from RNAcentral.
GAAGCCCUACGGGGCGCAGCAGUGGGGAAUUUUGCGCAAUGGGGGAAACCCUGACGCAGCAACGCCGCGUGCGGGACGACGGCCCUCGGGUUGUAAACCGCUUUCAGUGGGGACGAUGGUGACGGUACCCACAGAAGAAGCUCCGGCUAACUACGUGCCAGCAGCCGCGGUAAUACGUAGGGAGCGAGCGUUAUCCGGAUUCAUUGGGCGUAAAGCGCGCGUAGGCGGCUGCCUAAGCGGUACCUCUAAUC